UAGGGAAUCUUCCACAAUGGGCGCAAGCCUGAUGGAGCAACACCGCGUGAGUGAAGAAGGGUUUCGGCUCGUAAAACUCUGUUGUUGAAGAAGAACGUGCGUGAGAGUAACUGUUCAUGCAGUGACGGUACUCAACCAGGAAGUCACGGCUAACUACGUGCCAG
Molecule: ribosomal RNA, 164 nt
Filed under: uncultured bacterium
Lineage: Bacteria
Description: partial 16S rRNA
Rfam family: Bacterial small subunit ribosomal RNA
Source: RNAcentral